AGUGGCCUACGGGAGGCAGCAGUGGGGAAUAUUGCACAAUGGGGGAAACCCUGAUGCAGCGACGCCGCGUGAGUGAAGAAGUAUUUCGGUACGUAAAGCUCUAUCAGCAGGGAAGAAAAACCGGCCUUAGGGCCGCCAGACGGUACCUGACUAAGAAGCCCCGGCUAACUACGUGCCAGCAGCCGCGGUAAUACGUAGGGUGCGAGCGUUAAUCGGAAUUACUGGGCGUAAAGCGCUCGUAGGCGGUAUGUCAAGUCAAGGGUGAAAUCCCCGCGCUCAACGUGGGAACUGCCUUUGAAACUGGG
Molecule: ribosomal RNA, 305 nt
Filed under: uncultured bacterium
Lineage: Bacteria
Description: bacterial SSU rRNA
Rfam family: Bacterial small subunit ribosomal RNA
Source: RNAcentral